AGAAUCAACGCUGGCGGCGUGCCUAACACAUGCAAGUCGAACGAAAAAGUGGGAGCAAUCCCACGAGUAAAGUGGCGCACGGGUGAGUAACACGUGACUAACCUACCCUUGAGUGGGGGAUAACCUAGGGAAACCUGGGCUAAUACCGCAUAAUACCUACGGGUCAAAGGAGCAAUUCGCUUUAGGAGGGGGUCGCGGCAGAUUAGUUAGUUGGCGGGGUAAUGGCCCACCAAGACAGUGAUCUGUAU
Molecule: ribosomal RNA, 248 nt
Filed under: uncultured bacterium
Lineage: Bacteria
Description: partial small subunit ribosomal RNA
Rfam family: Bacterial small subunit ribosomal RNA
Source: RNAcentral